This 502-nucleotide ribosomal RNA is filed under the name uncultured Verrucomicrobiota bacterium. RNAcentral's name for it is "bacterial SSU rRNA". It matches the Rfam family "Bacterial small subunit ribosomal RNA", at positions 403 to 896 of the family's 1533-position model. Lineage: Bacteria; Pseudomonadati; Verrucomicrobiota. The record is from RNAcentral.
GGGGGAUGAAGGGCUUCGGCUCGUAAACCCCUGUCAGUUGCGAACAAGAUUCAUUCAAUAACACGUGGGUGGAUUGAUAGUAGUGACAGAGGAAGGGACGGCUAACUCUGUGCCAGCAGCCGCGGUAAUACAGAGGUCCCGAGCGUUGUUCGGAUUCACUGGGCGUAAAGGGUGCGUAGGUGGCUUUGCAAGUCUGAUGUGAAAUCUCCGGGCCCAACCCGGAAAUGGCAUUAGAAACUGCGGGGCUAGAGGCUUGGAGGGGGAACUGGAAUGCUCGGUGUAGCAGUGAAAUGCGUAGAGAUCGAGCGGAACACCAGUGGCGAAGGCGAGUUCCUGGACAAGUCCUGACACUGAGGCACGUAAGCCAGGGGAGCAAACAGGAUUAGAUACCCUGGUAGUCCUGGCUGUAAACGGUGCACGUUUGCUGUGAGAGGAAUCGACCCCUUUCGUGGCGGAGCUAACGCGAUAAACGUGCCGCCUGGGGAGUACGGCCGCAAGGUUA